RNAcentral lists this long non-coding RNA (223 nucleotides) under Sorghum bicolor (sorghum). RNAcentral describes it as "long non-coding RNA (SBIC_LNC009739)". The record is from RNAcentral. Lineage: Eukaryota; Viridiplantae; Streptophyta; Magnoliopsida; Poales; Poaceae.
CUAAAGGGAAAACGGCGAGAAUGCAUAUUUGACAUCAUGAUGAUGUAAUGAUGAAGUCAUCAAGCUAAUUAGAACAGUAAUCGCUCAGCCAGCACCGGAUUUACCGUCACUGUGUGGUUGGCUGGUUGCCAUGGACGUGCUGCUCUUCAUGCUAGCUCGGCAAGAUUACAUGUUGCACAUGCAUACACGAUGAUAAUUAAAAUAAAUGAGUGUAGACUGCGGA